UAUUGGACAAUGGGCGCAAGCCUGAUCCAGCAAUGCCGCGUGUGUGAUGAAGGCCUGAGGGUUGUAAAGCACUUUUAGUGGGGAGGAAGGAAUUAUUUCGAAUAGAGAUGAUUUUUGACGUUACCCGCAGAAAAAGCACCGGCUAACUCUGUGCCAGCAGCCGCGGUAAUACAGAGGGUGCAAGCGUUAAUCGGAGUGACUGGGCGUAAAGGGCGUGUAGGUGGAUGGAUAAGUUAUGUGUGAAAUAUCCGGGCUUAACCUGGAGGGGUCAUGUAAUACUGUCUGUCUAGAGUAGAGCAGAGGGAAGUAGAAUUUCCGGUGUAGCGGUGAAAUGCGUAGAGAUCGGAAGGAAUACCAGUGGCGAAGGCGGCUUCCUGGGCUCAUACUGACACUGAGGCGCGAAAGCGUGGGUAGCGAAC
RNAcentral lists this ribosomal RNA (419 nucleotides) under uncultured bacterium. Its description in RNAcentral is "bacterial SSU rRNA". It matches the Rfam family "Bacterial small subunit ribosomal RNA", at positions 362 to 773 of the family's 1533-position model. The record is from RNAcentral.